Molecule: ribosomal RNA, 478 nt
Filed under: uncultured Planctomycetales bacterium
Lineage: Bacteria; Pseudomonadati; Planctomycetota; Planctomycetia; Planctomycetales
Description: bacterial SSU rRNA
Rfam family: Bacterial small subunit ribosomal RNA
Source: RNAcentral
UUUCGCAAUGCCCGAAAGGGUGACGAAGCGACGCCGCGUGUGGGAAGAAGGCCUUCGGGUUGUAAACCACUGUCGGGAGUUAAGAAAUACAAGGAUAUUAAUAGUGUCUUUGUUUGACUAAGGCUCCGGAGGAAGCCACGGCUAACUCUGUGCCAGCAGCCGCGGUAAUACAGAGGCGGCAAGCGUUGUUCGGAAUUAUUGGGCGUAAAGAGCACGUAGGCGGCUAUGUAAGUCGGUUGUGAAAGCCUUCCGCUCAACGGAAGAACAGCAUCCGAUACUACAUGGCUUGAGUGCGGGAGGGGAGAGUGGAACCUCUGGUGGAGCGGUGAAAUGCGUAGAUAUCAGAAGGAACGCCGGCGGCGAAAGCGGCUCUCUGGCCCAUAACUGACGCUGAGUGUGCGAAAGCUAGGGGAGCAGACGGGAUUAGAUACCCCGGUAGUCCUAGCCGUAAACGAUGGGCACUAAGUAGAGGGGUUUU